CCAUGACAGUCUAGAGAGAGGAAAAGUACUCUACUGCCUCUUCACUGGACAUAAACAGGACCGGUGUCUUUACACAGCGGAGAGCAUAGAAAGAAUGAAGACUGUUUCUGUUCUCCUCAUCUUCCUACUCUCAGGAGAGAUGGAAGCUGAUGGUAUUGACAUCUCAUAUUACAAAGGAGGAACUGUCAUCAUCGAACAAAGACGAAGUGUGAGUCAGGAUUUCUGCAAGGAGAUUAAAUCUGGCGGGUGCAACAACUUAGCUGAUAAAGGCUUGAAUGGGAGAUUGUCUGUUGAACAAUCAGAGAACAGAGAUUCCACGACUGUGUCGAUACACUCACUGAAACCAGAGGACGAGGGCGAAUACAGGUUUGGACAUCAAGAACUGGAGUUAGAACCGCUCACAGG
Clupea harengus (Atlantic herring) is the source of this 405-nucleotide long non-coding RNA. The record is from Ensembl. Lineage: Eukaryota; Metazoa; Chordata; Actinopteri; Clupeiformes; Clupeidae.